This 68-nucleotide transfer RNA is filed under the name Ictidomys tridecemlineatus (thirteen-lined ground squirrel). RNAcentral describes it as "Spermophilus tridecemlineatus (thirteen-lined ground squirrel) tRNA". It matches the Rfam family "tRNA". Rfam says of the family: Transfer RNA (tRNA) molecules are approximately 80 nucleotides in length. Lineage: Eukaryota; Metazoa; Chordata; Mammalia; Rodentia; Sciuridae. The record is from Rfam by way of RNAcentral.
GGGGUUGUGGCUCAGUGGUAGAGCGCUUGCCUAGAUACAUGAGGCACUGGGUUCAAUUCUCAGCACCA